Molecule: ribosomal RNA, 597 nt
Filed under: Salmonella enterica subsp. enterica serovar Infantis
Lineage: Bacteria; Pseudomonadati; Pseudomonadota; Gammaproteobacteria; Enterobacterales; Enterobacteriaceae
Also listed under: 3 other names
Description: partial 23S ribosomal RNA
Rfam family: Bacterial large subunit ribosomal RNA
Source: RNAcentral
AGACCCGAAACCCGGUGAUCUAGCCAUGGGCAGGUUGAAGGUUGGGUAACACUAACUGGAGGACCGAACCGACUAAUGUUGAAAAAUUAGCGGAUGACCUGUGGCUGGGGGUGAAAGGCCAAUCAAACCGGGAGAUAGCUGGUUCUCCCCGAAAGCUAUUUAGGUAGCGCCUCGUGAAUUCAUCUCCGGGGGUAGAGCACUGUUUCGGCUAGGGGGCCAUCCCGGCUUACCAACCCGAUGCAAACUGCGAAUACCGGAGAAUGUUAUCACGGGAGACACACGGCGGGUGCUAACGUCCGUCGUGAAGAGGGAAACAACCCAGACCGCCAGCUAAGGUCCCAAAGUCAUGGUUAAGUGGGAAACGAUGUGGGAAGGCCCAGACAGCCAGGAUGUUGGCUUAGAAGCAGCCAUCAUUUAAAGAAAGCGUAAUAGCUCACUGGUCGAGUCGGCCUGCGCGGAAGAUGUAACGGGGCUAAACCAUGCACCGAAGCUGCGGCAGCGAACGUAUCACUUAAAGCGAUUCAGCGGGUUACGAUUGACGGAGCGAAGCGACGUCAAAGCGUAUACAAAGUCGAGUCGGUUUAAGGAUACGUUCGU